UUAAAUUGAAGAGUUUGAUCAUGGCUCAGAUUGAACGCUGGCGGCAGGCCUAACACAUGCAAGUCGAGCGGAAACGACUUAACUGAACCUUCGGGGAACGUUAAGGGCGUCGAGCGGCGGACGGGUGAGUAAUG
Molecule: ribosomal RNA, 134 nt
Filed under: Vibrio splendidus
Lineage: Bacteria; Pseudomonadati; Pseudomonadota; Gammaproteobacteria; Vibrionales; Vibrionaceae
Description: partial 16S ribosomal RNA
Rfam family: Bacterial small subunit ribosomal RNA
Source: RNAcentral